AUCGAAAGGGAAUCGGGUUAAUAUUCCCGAACUCGGACGUGGAUAUCGGUGCUUGCACCAGAUGCGGUAACGCAAACGAACCCGGAGACGCUGGCAGAAGCCCUGGGAAGAGUUCUCUCUUCUUUGUUAGGGACGAAUUCCGUGGAAUCGCUUCGCGCGGAGAUACGGAUGAUGUUCCCGUAAAGCAUCGCGGUUUUGCGGUGUCCGGUGCGCUUCUUCUGGCCCUUGAAAAUCCGGGUAAGAGAUUGAUUUUCACGCCGAAUCGUACCCAUAUCCGCAGCAGGUCUCCAAGGUGAACAGCCUCUAGUCUUUGAACAAUGUAGGCAAGGGAAGUCGGCAAAAUUAGAUCCGUAACUUCGGGAAAAGGAUUGGCUCUAAGGGCUGGGCCGUUCGAGCUCCGGUUAGAAGCGAUGGUCG
This 417-nucleotide ribosomal RNA is filed under the name uncultured eukaryote. Its description in RNAcentral is "eukaryotic LSU rRNA". It matches the Rfam family "Eukaryotic large subunit ribosomal RNA", at positions 1593 to 1996 of the family's 3401-position model. The record is from RNAcentral.